AGUGAACGCUGGCGGUAGGCCUAACACAUGCAAGUCGAACGGCAGCACAGUAAGAGCUUGCUCUUACGGGUGGCGAGUGGCGGACGGGUGAGGAAUACAUCGGAAUCUACUUUUUCGUGGGGGAUAACGUAGGGAAACUUACGCUAAUACCGCGUACGACCUACGGGUGAAAGCAGGGGAUCUUCGGACCUUGCGCGAUUGAAUGAGCCGAUGUCGGAUUAGCUAGUUGGCGGGGUAAAGGCCCACCAAGGCGACGAUCCGUAGCUGGUCUGAGAGGAUGAUCAGCCACACUGGAACUGAGACACGGUCCAGACUCCUACGGGAGGCAGCAGUGGGGAAUAUUGGACAAUGGGCGCAAGCCUGAUCCAGCCAUACCGCGUGGGUGAAGAAGGCCUUCGGGUUGUAAAGCCCUUUUGUUGGGAAAGAAAAGCAGCAGGUUAAUACCCCGCUGUUCUGACGGUACCCAAAGAAUAAGCACCGGCUAACUUCGU
Molecule: ribosomal RNA, 491 nt
Filed under: uncultured bacterium
Lineage: Bacteria
Description: partial 16S ribosomal RNA
Rfam family: Bacterial small subunit ribosomal RNA
Source: RNAcentral